RNAcentral lists this long non-coding RNA (441 nucleotides) under Vigna radiata. Its description in RNAcentral is "long non-coding RNA (VRAD_LNC013755)". The record is from RNAcentral. Lineage: Eukaryota; Viridiplantae; Streptophyta; Magnoliopsida; Fabales; Fabaceae.
UUCACACUGGAGUUCGCUCAUGAGACGAAACUGGGAGGAGCUGAGGUCGCCGAGGUCUCCGGUGCGGAUGCCAUAGAGGAUAUCAAUGAUGUGAGUCUCAAAGAGGAGGGCAGACUCGGUGUAGAUGAGGUGGAAGAUGGUGGUGGGGCGCCAGCCAGUGAUCCAGUGGAGGGAGCGCUCAAGGGUGGUGGUCCAUGGCGCCAGGAACACGCUGAGAGGAUCUCUCUCCACCUCCUCCCAUUUUUCUACAAAGUAUUCUUGGUGCUGUUUCAUGACCCUUUCCAUGGCUUCUUGAGUGUGUUCAUCCUUCAAAUCCUUCACCAUGACCUUCAACUGCACGAACCAAAAUCUGUGAAAGUUGGCGAAAGAAGUGACCAUGGCAAUACUUUUGGGUUUGUGAGAGUUUGGCUUUGGUAAUUAUUUAUGGCUGUUGUGGUUGUU